RNAcentral lists this ribosomal RNA (202 nucleotides) under uncultured bacterium. RNAcentral's name for it is "partial 16S ribosomal RNA". It matches the Rfam family "Bacterial small subunit ribosomal RNA", at positions 568 to 770 of the family's 1533-position model. The record is from RNAcentral.
UGCGUAGGCGGCGCGGUAAGUCGGGUGUGAAAUCUCGGAGCCUAACUCCGAAACUGCAUUCGAUACUGCCGUGCUUGAGGACUGGAGAGGAGACUGGAAUUUACGGUGUAGCGGUGAAAUGCGUAGAUAUCGUAAGGAAGACCAGUGGCGAAGGCGGGUCUCUGGACAGUUCCUGACGCUGAGGCACGAAGUGGAGGCAACG